Molecule: microRNA precursor, 82 nt
Filed under: Tursiops truncatus (common bottlenose dolphin)
Lineage: Eukaryota; Metazoa; Chordata; Mammalia; Artiodactyla; Delphinidae
Description: miRNA (ENSTTRG00000025081.1)
Source: RNAcentral
AGGGUGACCAACCUUCCUGGUUUGCCUGGGAUUGAGGUGGUUCCUGGGAGGCAGGACUUUCAGUUUCAAAACCAGGAAAGUC